RNAcentral lists this ribosomal RNA (482 nucleotides) under uncultured bacterium. Its description in RNAcentral is "partial 16S ribosomal RNA". It matches the Rfam family "Bacterial small subunit ribosomal RNA", at positions 29 to 507 of the family's 1533-position model. The record is from RNAcentral.
AUUGAACGCUGGCGGCAUGCUUUACACAUGCAAGUCGAACGGUAACAGCCCUUCGGUGGCUGACGAGUGGCGAACGGGUGAGUAAUUCACCGGAACGUGCCUAGUAGUGGGGGAUAAUUACUCGUAAGAGUAGCUAAUACCGCAUGAGAUCUACUGAUGAAAGCAGGGGACCUUCUGCCCUUGCGCUACUUGUGCGGCUGAGGCCAGAUGAGGUUGGUGGUGGGGUAAAUGCUUACCAAGCCGAGGAUCUGUAGCUGAUAUGAGAGGACGGACAGCCAGACGGGGACAGAGAAAGGGCGCAGACACCGACGGGAGGCAGCAGUGGGGAAUUUUAGAGAAUGGGGGAAAGCGUGAUACAGCAAAGCCGCGGGCAGGAUGAAGGAGUGCGGGUUGUAAACUGCUGAUGUACGGAAGGAAAAGACGUCUUAUAAGAAAGGAGGGUAAUGACGGUACCGAAAGAAGAAGCACCGGCUAACUACGUG